RNAcentral lists this small RNA (27 nucleotides) under Bombyx mori (domestic silkworm). RNAcentral describes it as "ovarian small RNA-11758". The record is from RNAcentral. Lineage: Eukaryota; Metazoa; Arthropoda; Insecta; Lepidoptera; Bombycidae.
AGAACGAUGAAUGGUAUGAGGUUCUAC